RNAcentral lists this ribosomal RNA (504 nucleotides) under uncultured bacterium. RNAcentral describes it as "partial 16S ribosomal RNA". It matches the Rfam family "Bacterial small subunit ribosomal RNA", at positions 30 to 523 of the family's 1533-position model. The record is from RNAcentral.
AUUGAACGCUGGCGGCAGGCCUAACACAUGCAAGUCGAACGGUAGCACAGAGAGCUUGCUCUCGGGUGACGAGUGGCGGACGGGUGAGCAAUGUCUGGGAAACUGCCCGAUGGAGGGGGAUAACUACUGGAAACGGUAGCUAAUACCGCAUAACGUCGCCAGACCAAAGUGGGGGACCUUCGGGCCUCACACCAUCGGAUGUGCCCAGAUGGGAUUAGCUAGUAGGUGGGGUAAUGGCUCACCUAGGCGACGAUCCCUAGCUGGUCUGAGAGGAUGACCAGCCACACUGGAACUGAGACACGGUCCAGACUCCUACGGGAGGCAGCAGUGGGGAAUAUUGCACAAUGGGCGCAAGCCUGAUGCGGCCAUGCCGCGUGUAUGAAGAAGGCCUUCGGGUUGUAAAGUACUUUCAGCGGGGAGGAAGGCGGUGGAGUUAAUAACUUCACCGAUUGACGUUACCCGCAGAAGAAGCACUGGCUAACUCCGUGCCAGCCGCCGCCGUAA